RNAcentral lists this ribosomal RNA (253 nucleotides) under uncultured bacterium. RNAcentral's name for it is "partial 16S ribosomal RNA". It matches the Rfam family "Bacterial small subunit ribosomal RNA", at positions 524 to 776 of the family's 1533-position model. The record is from RNAcentral.
UACGGAGGGUGCAAGCGUUAUCCGGAUUCACUGGGCUUAAAGGGUGCGUAGGUGGGCAGUUAAGUCAGUGGUGAAAUCUCCGGGCUCAACCCGGAAACUGCCAUUGAUACUAUCUGUCUUGAAUAUCGUGGAGGUAAGCGGAAUAUGUCAUGUAGCGGUGAAAUGCUUAGAUAUGACAUAGAACACCGAUUGCGAAGGCAGCUUACUACCCGAAUAUUGACACUGAGGCACGAAAGCGUGGGGAUCAAACAGG